RNAcentral lists this ribosomal RNA (772 nucleotides) under uncultured Yoonia sp. RNAcentral's name for it is "bacterial SSU rRNA". It matches the Rfam family "Bacterial small subunit ribosomal RNA", at positions 50 to 869 of the family's 1533-position model. Lineage: Bacteria; Pseudomonadati; Pseudomonadota; Alphaproteobacteria; Rhodobacterales; Paracoccaceae. The record is from RNAcentral.
AACACAUGCAAGUCGAGCGAGACCUUCGGGUCUAGCGGCGGACGGGUUAGUAACGCGUGGGAAUAUACCCUUCACUACGGAAUAGCCUCGGGAAACUGGGAGUAAUACCGUAUACGCCCUUUGGGGGAAAGAUUUAUCGGUGAAGGAUUAGCCCGCGUCUGAUUAGAUAGUUGGUGGGGUAAUGGCCUACCAAGUCUACGAUCAGUAGCUGGUUUGAGAGGAUGAUCAGCAACACUGGGACUGAGACACGGCCCAGACUCCUACGGGAGGCAGCAGUGGGGAAUCUUAGACAAUGGGCGCAAGCCUGAUCUAGCCAUGCCGCGUGAGUGACGAAGGCCUUAGGGUCGUAAAGCUCUUUCGCCAGAGAUGAUAAUGACAGUAUCUGGUAAAGAAACCCCGGCUAACUCCGUGCCAGCAGCCGCGGUAAUACGGAGGGGGUUAGCGUUGUUCGGAAUUACUGGGCGUAAAGCGCACGUAGGCGGAUUGGAAAGUAUGGGGUGAAAUCCCAGGGCUCAACCCUGGAACGGCCUUGUAAACUCCCAGUCUAGAGUUCGAGAGAGGUGAGUGGAAUUCCAAGUGUAGAGGUGAAAUUCGUAGAUAUUUGGAGGAACACCAGUGGCGAAGGCGGCUCACUGGCUCGAUACUGACGCUGAGGUGCGAAAGUGUGGGGAGCAAACAGGAUUAGAUACCCUGGUAGUCCACACCGUAAACGAUGAAUGCCAGACGUCGGGGGGCUUGCCCUUCGGUGUCACACCUAACGGAUUAAGCAUCC